GGGCGAGCGCGAGGGUAGCAAUACGACGUUGGCGGCGACCGGCGGAAGGGUGCGUAACGCGUGAGCAACAUGCCCGUCGACAGGGGGAGUAACAGUUGGAAACGACUCCUAAUACCCCGUAACAUCAUGGAUGGCAUCUUCUAUGGUUGAAAGCUAUUUGCGGUGACGGAUUGGCUCGCGUGACAUUAGCUAGUUGGAGUGGUAACGGCACACCAAGGCGACGAUGUCUAGGGGUUCUGAGAGGAAGGUCCCCCACACUGGAACUGAGACACGGUCCAGACUCCUACGGGAGGCAGCAGUGAGGAAUAUUGGUCAAUGGGCGGAAGCCUGAACCAGCCAUGCCGCGUGAAGGAAUAAGGUCCUAUGGAUCGUAAACUUCUUUUGUACGGGAGCAAUAAGGGUGUCGUGACAUCCGAUGAGAGUACCGUACGAAUAAGCAUCGGCUAACUCCGUGCC
Molecule: ribosomal RNA, 456 nt
Filed under: uncultured bacterium
Lineage: Bacteria
Description: bacterial SSU rRNA
Rfam family: Bacterial small subunit ribosomal RNA
Source: RNAcentral